Molecule: long non-coding RNA, 722 nt
Organism: Acipenser ruthenus (sterlet)
Lineage: Eukaryota; Metazoa; Chordata; Actinopteri; Acipenseriformes; Acipenseridae
Exons: 3
Source: RefSeq, a predicted model, not a curated record
CUAUCCCUACCCUCAGUGUUUCGUGGCAGAACAAGGCCUCAAAAUACUUCCACCAAGCGAAGAAGAACUGUAGCUGGAAGGGCCCGGGUGGUGAUUAGAGACAUCCUAUGUAUGCCAUUUAGUACACCUCAGCAAGAGGAUAAUUCUUGGAAAGCACCAAGAGGUCAGGACAAGGAGAAACUGGCUUCUGUCGGGCUGACAGGGAAACUUAAUCUGGACUCUACAUGGAAUUCUCAGGAGGUGCAACAUGAAAUUCGAUCAUUCUUUCAAACAAUGUUCUGCGCAGAUGGAGAAGAGUUUUUUUUUCAUUUUUACAGGUAAGUGUUUAUCUACACAUCUUUCUCUAUUUUAAGUAGUUUCCUGACAUAAGCCUACUCUUAUUUUCUUCAGAACAAUUUAAUUUCAACUCAACGCAGUUAUAAGUUUCUGAACUGUUUUUAGUGUUUGCCAGGUGGAAGGAAACUGAUCAAACCCAACACCUCUGUCAGUUUUUCUUGGAAUUAGUCUUGCAGGACAAGGAGCUCUGUACAUUCUUAGUCACCACAACCUGCCAGAAAGUGAGGAACAUGAAUCACCAAGUAAGGAGACUCUGUCUUUCCUCAGUUCUACCAAUUCAUUGACCCAUCAAAUAAAUCUUGAAAAUGAUGUUCAGCAGCUAGAACAGUUUAUUUAAUAGCAUAGUCACGGAGCAUGAUGAUGUAAACAUUUUUGAAGAUGUUCCC